GAACGUGGGGAUGACGUCAAGUCAUCAUGGCCCUUACGAGUAGGGCUACACACGUGCUACAAUGGCAUAUACAAAGAGAAGCGACCUCGCGAGAGCAAGCGGACCUCAUAAAGUAUGUCGUAGUCCGGAUCGGAGUCUGCAACUCGACUCCGUGAAGUCGGAAUCGCUAGUAAUCGUGGAUCAGAAUGCCACGGUGAAUACGUUCCCGGGCCUUGUACACACCGCCCGUCACACCAUGGGAGUGGGUUGCAAAAGAAGUAGGUAGCUUAACCUUCGGGAGGGCGCUUACCACUUUGUGAUUCAUGACUGGGGUGAAGUCGUAACAAGGUAACCGUAGGGGAACCUGCGGUUGGAUCACCUCCUUACCUUAA
Molecule: ribosomal RNA, 371 nt
Filed under: Myxococcus llanfairpwllgwyngyllgogerychwyrndrobwllllantysiliogogogochensis
Lineage: Bacteria; Pseudomonadati; Myxococcota; Myxococcia; Myxococcales; Myxococcaceae
Description: bacterial SSU rRNA
Rfam family: Bacterial small subunit ribosomal RNA
Source: RNAcentral